RNAcentral lists this ribosomal RNA (511 nucleotides) under uncultured Glomus. RNAcentral describes it as "SSU rRNA". It matches the Rfam family "Eukaryotic small subunit ribosomal RNA", at positions 569 to 1085 of the family's 1831-position model. Lineage: Eukaryota; Fungi; Glomeromycota; Glomeromycetes; Glomerales; Glomeraceae. The record is from RNAcentral.
AGCAGCCGCGGUAAUUCCAGCUCCAAUAGCGUAUAUUAAAGUUGUUGCAGUUAAAAAGCUCGUAGUUGAAUUUCGGGAUCAAUAUGUUGGUCGUGCCUCGGUACGUACUAGCAUAUUGGUUUCUCCUUUCUGAAGAACCAUGAUGUCAUUUAUUUGGUGUCGUGGGGAAUCAGGACUGUUACUUUGAAAAAUUAGAGUGUUUAAAGCAGGCUCACGCUUGAAUACAUUAGCAUGGAAUAAUGAAAUAGGACGUUUGAUUCUAUUUUGUUGGUUUCUAGGAUCGACGUAAUGAUUAAUAGGGAUAGUUGGGGGCAUUAGUAUUCAAUUGUCAGAGGUGAAAUUCUUGGAUUUAUUGAAGACUAACUACUGCGAAAGCAUUUGCCAAGGAUGUUUUCAUUAAUCAAGAACGAAAGUUAGGGGAUCGAAGACGAUCAGAUACCGUCGUAGUCUUAACCAUAAACUAUGCCGACUAGGGAUCGGAUGAUGUUAAUUUUUAAUGACUCAUUCGGCG